UACGUAGGGGGCAAGCGUUGUCCGGAAUUACUGGGCGUAAAGGGCGUGUAGGCGGUUUUUUAAGUCAGAUGUGAAAGUUCGGGGCUCAACCCCGGAAUUGCAUUUGAAACUGGGAGACUUGAGUACUGGAGAGGUAAGUGGAAUUCCUAGUGUAGCGGUGAAAUGCGUAGAUAUUAGGAGGAACACCAGUGGCGAAGGCGACUUACUGGACAGAUACUGACGCUGAGGCGCGAAAGCGUGGGGAGCAAACAGG
This 253-nucleotide ribosomal RNA is filed under the name uncultured bacterium. RNAcentral's name for it is "partial 16S ribosomal RNA". It matches the Rfam family "Bacterial small subunit ribosomal RNA", at positions 524 to 776 of the family's 1533-position model. The record is from RNAcentral.